RNAcentral lists this transfer RNA (73 nucleotides) under Felis catus (domestic cat). It matches the Rfam family "tRNA". From Rfam's summary of the family: Transfer RNA (tRNA) molecules are approximately 80 nucleotides in length. Their secondary structure includes four short double-helical elements and three loops (D, anti-codon, and T loops). Further hydrogen bonds mediate the characteristic L-shaped molecular structure. tRNAs have two regions of fundamental functional importance: the anti-codon, which is responsible for specific mRNA codon recognition, and the 3' end, to which the tRNAs corresponding amino acid is attached (by aminoacyl-tRNA synthetases). tRNAs cope with the degeneracy of the genetic code in two manners: having more than one tRNA (with a specific anti-codon) for a particular amino acid; and 'wobble' base-pairing, i.e. permitting non-standard base-pairing at the 3rd anti-codon position. The record is from Rfam by way of RNAcentral. RNAcentral also lists the same sequence under 2 other names. Lineage: Eukaryota; Metazoa; Chordata; Mammalia; Carnivora; Felidae.
GCCUGGCUGGUUCAGAUGGUACAGCAUGUGACUCUUGAUCUCAGGACCGUGAGUUCAAGCCCCACAUUGGGCA